AACCUGUGGGAAUGACAGUAAGGUAAAUCUUGUAAUCUGUUAAUCAGGCAAACGAGAAUCAGGUAGGAGGUGUGCGUGUGUCAAAGCAGAAGAAUCAGCGUGGGCUGACCGGCGACGAACGGUGUCUAUAGACACGUCCUAAUCAGCAGAGGAAAGAGGUUAGUGCUCAACCACCUGAAGGAGGUCACGGGCCCCCUGCUUGAUCCCCUCCAGUUUGCCUACCGGGCAAACAGGUCAGCGAUGAUGCGGUCAACAUGGGACUGCACUACAUCCUGCACCACCUGGACACCCCAGGAACGUAGGCCAGGAUCCUGUUCGUGGACUUCAGCUCGGCGUUCAACACCAUCGCUCCUGACAUCCUCCAACAGAAUAUCAUCCAGCUUGCGGUGCCUGCCUCCACCUGUCAGUGGAUCACCAGCUUCCUGACCAACAGGAGACAGCGUGUGAGGCUGGGGGGGCAUCACAUCUGACACCCGGACCACCAAUACUGGAGCCCCUCAGGGGUGCGUCCUCUCCCCACUGCUCUUCUCUCUCUACACCAAUGAUUUCUCCUCAGGUGACUCUCCUGUGAAGCUCCUGAAGUAUGCAGACGACACCACUCUCAUCGGACUGAUCCAGGACGGUGAUGAGACUGCGUACAGACAGGAGGUGGAGUGGCUGGUCUACUGGUGCAGCCAAAAACCAUCUGGAGCUGAACCCGCUCAAGACCGUGGAGAUGACAGUGGAUUUCAGGCGAGACCCUUCACCACUUUUACCCCUCACUAUCAGCAGUAAUACUAUUCUCUCCACAGACACCUUCAAGUUCCUGGGAACCACAAUCUCUCAGGACCUGAGAUGUACCGGCCACAUAGACUCUGUCCGGAAGAAGGCCCAGCAGAGGCUGUACUUUCUGAGACAGCUCAAGAAGUUCAACCUGCCGGGAGAGCUUCUGAAGACCUUCUACACUGCCAUCAUCCAGUCUGUGCUCUGCACCUCCAUCACUGUCUGGUUUGGAUCGGCCUCCAAACAAGACAAGCACAGACUGCAACGGACAAUCAGGACUGCAGAAAAGAUCAUCGGAAUCAACCUCCCAUCUAUCCAAGACUUGUACCUGUCCAGGACCAGGAAACGUGCAACGAACAUCUAUACAGACCGUUCUCACCCAGGUUGCAGUCUGUUUGAUCUACUCCCCUCCGGACAGCGUUACAGAGCUCGGUACGCCAAAACCAGCAGACACAGAGACAGCUUCUUCCCCCAGGCUGUUGCUCACACCACUCUUAGAGUCUCAGAGUCAUUACUGUGCAAUAACAUCCUGCUCUCCACACUUUUUUUGAAUUUGUCGACACUGUUUGUACUACUAUGUGUCCUCUCUGCAUCCAUUGCAGCCUGGUCAUCCUGGAAGAGGGACCUUCCCAUCUGUGGUCUCUUCUCAAGGUUUCUCAUUUCCCCUAGCUGGAGUUUUGAGUUUUUCCUUGCCCUUUUGGGAGUUUAAGAUCAGGGGAUGUUUGAGAAUAUUUGCCAUUUUUCACAUGUCCUGAGUGUUGUUAGUCACCUAAAUGUUGAACAGAGGGUGUGAUUUACCGAAGUCAAAUUCCUUGUUUGGCACGCUCAAACAUGGCGGAUAAAAACGCUUGAAUCUUGAAUCUUAAAUGUUCAGAUAUUAAGAUGUGAUCGACAGUUUUUGCAUGAUUUGAAUGAGGCAAAAUAACAUGCUUUUUUCUUUUACUUCACUGGUUCUUCUAUAUCAAACAAUUUGUUUUAGGUUUAUUUACCUGACCUGUUUCGACGGGUUCUUCCGCCUUCAUCUGAGUGUCACUGAUGUGGUUGUGACGUGUUUUUAUCAGCUGAUGGAUGAAGGCGUGGCUCACCUGUCAAAUUUGACAGGUGAGUCACGCCCUCUAAUGUCAGUUCACCUCUCCAAAAUGCUGUUCCAGGUUGUAGAGAGCAUGUAGGCUCCCUCGUCCCUGUUGAUGGUACUCGGGCCCCGCUUGCGGAUCUCAAUGGCCUCCCUGAUCCAACGCUGAUGUUUGUUUUCUUCAGUGCGGAUCAGAGCUGUGGACUCGGACUCGGGGAAUCGGACUUGGUCGGACUCUGUCAUUUUUGCCGGACUCGGUGCUGAUUUUGACCGAGUCCACCGAGUCCGACAAUAAAAAAAAUAAACAUUUGUGAUUAUUUUUUGUGCGUAUUUGCUUCGAUUGAGUUCAAUAUGGUUUUUGGUCAAACGCGCAUGCGUGUGAGGGGAAAUCCCGCAAAGGAGGAAGGACAAACAGAGCGAUUGGUUUUGCUGGCUUUUUAAUGAAUGGCGACUGUGACUACGGGGGCCCAUUAGGUCCAGAAAAGCUAACAAGGCGCUUGCCAAAAUGGCAAGGAAAAAAUGCACAGCUAAACGAAUAUAUGACGAUGAACACAGGACGUUUUUAAAGUUAAAGUUGUUUUUUGUUGAACGCUAUGGCAAGCCAUUCUGCCUGAUAUGUUGGACGUCAUUGGCGCAUUUAAAAGCUUCAAAUGGUCAGCGCCACUUCAGCUCACUUCAUGCCUAUAUCGAUAAGGACUUUGCAAAAGGGACUGAAUUUUGCAAGCACAAGUUUGGAGACUUUGAAAAGUCAGGCAGAAAAAUAGGUACAGUUUUUCAAAAAAAAUACGAAGCACUCAGAGACUGUCACACUUGCAUUGUUUCAACUGAGCUAAAAAGCCAUACAAUGAAGUGGAGUUCGUUAAAAUAUGCCUCAGUGACGUUAUUGAAUUUUAUUUUCAUCAUGCUGCUGAGAAUGCGCGUAGGAAUACUGCCACAGCCCUGCUUGCUUGUUAUGAAGACAAAUUUAAUUGUUGCGUGCGCGCCCGUGCCUGCCUGCGUGCGUGCGUGCACGUACAAGACCCACAAUGCCAAGAUGGAAGAACCCUGGAGCAGCGGGAGAACAAUGUUUUGCCUCUAGAUUUGGGGGGGGAACGGAGCGUAAGUUACGAUCAAUGCGGCCACGUUGAGUUGCACUUAGGCUAAUGUUUACAUUAUGUACCAAUGUCAAGGACGAUUAUGUCACCCAGUUUAUAUCAUUGAUGUGUUUCGAUAGUUGUGGGGUCGUCACUAAUUAUUUGUGUUUAGAUAAAUGUCUGAGCUAUAAUGGUGUAAUUAAUGAUUAAAACUUGAAAAUAUCUGUUUAUUGUAUUCGUUUAUAGGUUUAAUAAAGACAAAGCCAUCACAAAACUGUUGUAAUUAUUUAGAUUUUGAUCUAAAUUAGCCUUUAAUAAAGAAUAAGCAGUCACAUGAAUUAACAGAAAAAAUGGACAGCCGGACUCGGACUCAUGGUCAAGAGGCCGGACUCGGUGCAAAAAUCCGACCGAGUCCACAGCCCUGCCUUUGAGGCACACAAGUCACAAGGUAGUAGAGAUGUACCCUCUUAGUGGACUAAACACGGGUCCUGCCAUUGAAGUCUUACCUACAUUCCGACCGAGUCCACAGCCCUGGUGCGGAUGACUCUGGCCUUUUCCCAGUCCAUGAUGUGCUUUUCUCUUUUACAGUGGUCGGUGAUGGGUGACUUGUAGCGUUCCUGUUCUGCUUGUAGUUUUAUUGCUUAUUGUUUGUCUUGUUGCUGUCUCCUUCUCACAUUCCUUCUUGUGUUCCGUUUUUCUUGUGAUGAAGUUCCUCCCCGUCUCCCCGAUAUAUGAUUUAUUGCAUAAUUUGCAUGGAAUCUCGUAUAUGGAAUUGCAUUUAUUUUCCGGAAUGACUCUGUCUUUUGGGUGGACCAGUAUCGGACGGAGUGUUGUAUGUGGUUUGAUAGGCGUGCUUAUGUUUUAUUUUUUCAUGGCUCAGUUUGUCAGUAGUCAGAACACUAUACGAAUGCAUAACAAUAAUCACGGAUCCGGAGGACAUAACACAGGAAGAAAAAUACAUAUAACACGCACUCGAAAAAUGUCAGUAUCCACAAUGGGCAAUACCCAAAGGUGCAGAACAGGUAAAAAACAAAAAAUACAAAACACAGGAGCAAAGAAAGAAACAAACACGGAAACAAGAACCCAGCGGAAUGGUGACGUUGCCGUAUGUGAGAGGAAUUACAGAACGCAUCAAAAGAACCAUGAAAAAAUACAACAUAAGCACGCCUAUCAAACCAAGCAACAAGACAAACAAGAGCAAUAAAACUACAAGCAGAACAGGAACACUACAAGUCAGCCAUCACCAACCACUGUAAAAGAGAAAACCACAUCAUGGACUGGGAAAAGGCCAAAGUCAU
Syngnathus typhle (broad-nosed pipefish) is the source of this 4205-nucleotide long non-coding RNA. RefSeq lists it as uncharacterized. The record is from RefSeq and is a predicted model, not a curated record. NCBI's taxonomy places the organism in Eukaryota, Metazoa, Chordata, Actinopteri, Syngnathiformes, Syngnathidae. The transcript has 2 exons.